GCAUACAAAAUGACAAAUAAAGUUGUCUAAGUCUAAUCUUUUAUGCAGUUAUUACACACUUUCCAUUUUAUGUUAUUAGGAGGGAUGCCUAAUAAGUGCUCUUCUGAUCCAUUGUAUGUUUUCUAUCUACAAACAUACAGGAUAACGAAAGCCUUUUGUCCUUUUCUUUGUUUCCUCGCUGCUGUCCAGACACAAUGGCAGUCUCCUGCUGGCGCAUUCAGGGAAGUUCUUGUCAGCCAGUCGUCUCAUUUUAUUCGCAGACCUGGACAAAGGAGUCAAGGUAGACAGGCAGAAAUGAACAGUGUGAUAUCAAGACAAAGUUUACUCAGUUUCAACCAAAUGAAGGGACAGAGACCAAUCCUUUCAGCGUUUGGUAUAAAUUCAAGAGCACCUUCCCACAUGCAAGAUUUUCUUCAACAAUCCGGAGAUCCCGCUGUCCGAUAUUGUUUUUGUGCGCAGAGUUGUUUGACUUUGAGAGGGCGGGACUCUGUGGAGAGCGAAAUGAACUAGGCGCGGCCAAGCGGAGCCCCAUCCAUCUAUCACACGUGUAGACAAAGGGGGGACUCCACAACACAGAGCUUGGUGCCCCUCUCAAACUUUUUCCACGGACGCACGGGAACGCGCGCACAGCGAACCAGCCCAGGUGGAAUUUUAACACAGAUUAUGGAGCAAGACAUUUCCUGUGGAAGGUGGAAGAAAAUAGCCGAAAAAUUAUGCAAAAACGACAUGAAGAUGGCACAGGAUCACCCACAGGAUGACUUUUUAAGACGGAGAGGAGGAUUAAGAGACUAUGCAGCUUCUUUUGGGGGAGAAGGUAAAGACUUAUCUCAUGUUGGAUUUAAACUUCUGCAACAGCGGUGCCAGUUGGAUUGCGUUUUAGGGCACACUUGGAAAUCCAGAACUCAUGGAGAUACUUUUAAGGAUUAUAAGAAUUCACAAUAAAUCUCUCCGCAAGAGGCGUCUUGGGCCAGAGUCUCUGGGAUAGCAGGAUAUUGCAUUUCUGAUCCUUCUCGGCCUUCUGCACGGGUAUCCCUGGUCUGGUGCUUUUGUCUGUCUGUAUCUCUUUCCUGCCCUCUCAACAUCCUGCCGAUUGAGGCAGAGGACCACUCUUCCUGAGUUUGCCUCUGCUGGAGGUCCCUUCCUGUUAAAAGGGAGUUCCGCCCUUCACCGUUGAUGCCAUCCUGUUUGCUCAGGAAGGUGGCGGGAGUGUGGGAGUAGUGAGGUCUGGGAGAUCACGACCCUAAUUCUCUCCAAGACAGACGGUUUAAUUAACACUGGAGGAAUCCUCACUGACUCCAGACCUCUACAAUAAGAAUGUACUGGGGAAUUGGCACUGCACAGAUCUGCCUCAGGUCUUGGACAUUUAGUGGACCAGAAAGCUGACAGAUGAUGCCCAUGAAUGAUGGAUGAUGUCUUCUUGGUGCCAGUUGAAUGCUUAAUAAAGCAAUGAUACGGCUCCUGUCACUUUUGGCCCACAUUGGCAGAAGACCACCUCACAGGGAUUUUCCUCUUCACCAGGUGUGGCAGAGUGAGAUUCAGUGAGAACAUCUGCACGUGAGUGUCAAGCUUGUUCGGGAGGAGCAAAGAUCUAAAAACAAGCCUGCAUCAAAAGGGACAGGAGAGAUGCAGAGAGAAAGGAGAACGUCUUGAUAGAGAAGAGAAAACAGCAGGAAAAGAUGAAAGGACAUUUUCUGUGUAUGUAUAAAGCUUUAGCAUUAUUCUGUGGUAUCAAUGAUGUUCAUCUUUACAACCUAUAACUCACUGUGCAGAAGUGGUCAAAUGUGUUUAAAUGUGUUUUUUUUUUGGUUUUUAUUUUGGAUAGUAAACUUGUAAAACUGAGAAGAACAUGACUUUUCUACUAUAUUUUAUUGUUUAAGUAAUUAAACUCAAGAAAAAACAUUUUAAAGGUGGCAUGUGCUCUUUUUAUAUGAAGCUUUUACUUAAGACUGCAUAGAUUCAAGAAACUGACGUCAGAGCAAUGCGUCUCAAGUGUCUGGUAGAAUGACAUCAUAUGUAGGUGGUCAUAGUUUGGUCGCUGGAGAGCAAAAACAGCAUUAAGAACAUGUACUCAUACAAUAUGCAUAGCUCUGAGGAGAAAUAUGCCUAAACUCUUGUAACAAUAAAAUGUUAAGAGUUUAACUUUUAUCACUGCAGCAUGGAUUAUUGAUGAACUUUGUAUUGCUCUGUGAAAAAUCUAUUCAAUAUAAAGGUGUACAAAGAGAUUUCUUUCCUGCUCACAGGACUAGUGAAAACAUAGCUCAUGACAGCAACUGCAAAUGUCAUUUGAGGCUAUGCCGGGAAAAUAAUGAAGAGUACCAAAAGGAAAGUAUUGCUCUUCUUCAAAUUUAUAUUCGAAAGUUCUCGAUAUGAAGGUUGCUUGAAUAGAUUACACUGUGCUAUUAUUGAAGUUUGUAUUUAAAUUUUGACUUCUGGCAAUCAAUCACAAAACCAUGUAAUAACCAAACAAAAGACAAAACAAAACAAUCAUUAUCCAGAGUAAAACUGAGAAUGCCAUGGUGUUUAUAUGGAGGCAUAUAUUGUUAUAUGCCUGGUUGUUUGAGUUUUCCUGUUUCUUUUACGUCUCUGCUUUCUUCAUUUCUCUGCUGUUUAUAUUCUUUAGUAGUUACCAUUUUAGUGCAUUUGUUUGUAGACUAGGUUCUUAGUUCAUUCUUGUGUACAUUUUUCUAUUAUCUCUUUUAAAUGUCUUCCCUGUGUUUCUGUCUCGCUCUUCAGCUGCUGUUCAUUACUCUCCUUCCCUCAGCUCCCUCUGCCCUCAUUCUUUUCAACUGUUUAUCAUCUCCACUUGAUUGCUCUCAACUGUUUUGCCAUGCCUUUCUCUGCACUUACAUCUGCUUAUCACGUUUCUUGUUUUCAUUAAUCAUAGCUGGUUUCUUGAUUAAACGCUCUAUGUCCAUUACUUCUCCUGAUGUUCCGUGCCUUUUUUCCAUGUCUGAUCUCCUGUUUCAAAAUAGUACACUUCCUAUUUUUCAUCAUUAACUCUUUUUUUUUUUUUUUUGCCACAGCCACUCUCUGUAUUUGUAUCCUUUUCAACCGUAAUCAUGACAUAUGUAAGAAGCUACCUUUACAAUAACAAGGAAUGUUGUGUUGUAUUUAAUUCCUCAGCUAUGUUUUCAUUUAACUGUAUUGUGGACCUAAUAAACAUUGAGUGUUUUGUCAAUGAA
Long non-coding RNA from Fundulus heteroclitus (mummichog), 3182 nucleotides. RefSeq lists it as uncharacterized. The record is from RefSeq and is a predicted model, not a curated record. The transcript has 8 exons. NCBI's taxonomy places the organism in Eukaryota, Metazoa, Chordata, Actinopteri, Cyprinodontiformes, Fundulidae.